GAAAGUCAUCUUCAAAAAUGUUAUAACCAGACAACCAUACGUUGUAGUGGAGAUGUUGUAUAUAAAACAAACAUAAAAGAGUAUAAAGAUGACUCCAGUAGACAUAACGUUGAUGGCAAUGAUUUAGCACCACAAGCAAGCAUAGAAGGAAGGCACAUUGCUGUGGUCCGUCCACAUAUUGAAUCAAAUAGCAAUGACUGCAAAGAAGUUGAAAACUCAGAUGACAUAUUACAACAUAGAACAAGGGAAAGUUUUCUGGUUGCUGGAGACUCCGAGAAUACACAAGGUAAGGAUCAAUAUUUCUAUAAGUAUUUACGGCAGUCUUUAUAUUAU
Long non-coding RNA from Ruditapes philippinarum (Manila clam), 333 nucleotides. RefSeq lists it as uncharacterized. The record is from RefSeq and is a predicted model, not a curated record. The transcript is spliced from 3 exons. Lineage: Eukaryota; Metazoa; Mollusca; Bivalvia; Venerida; Veneridae.